GAUGAAGAACGUAGCGAAAUGCGAUAAGUAAUGUGAAUUGCAGAAUUCAGUGAAUCAUCGAAUCUUUGAACGCACAUUGCGCCCGCCAGUAUUCUGGCGGGCAUGCCUGUUCGAGCGUCAUUUCAAACAUCAAGCCCCAGGCUUGUGUUGGGGACCUGCGGCUGCCGCAGGCCCUGAAAACCAGUGGCGGGCUCGCUGUCACACCGGGCGUAGUAGAUUUUAUCUCGCUCAGGGCGUGCUGCGGGUUCCGGCCGUUAAAAAGCCUUUUUUACCCAAGGUUGACCUCGGAUCAGGUAGGAAGACCCGCUGAACUUAAGCAUAUCAAUAAGCGGAGGA
This 336-nucleotide unclassified non-coding RNA is filed under the name soil metagenome. Its description in RNAcentral is "partial contains 5.8S ribosomal RNA, internal transcribed spacer 2, and large subunit ribosomal RNA". The stretch from base 1 to 120 matches the Rfam family "5.8S ribosomal RNA", at positions 35 to 154 of the family's 154-position model. The record is from RNAcentral.